Molecule: ribosomal RNA, 519 nt
Filed under: uncultured bacterium
Lineage: Bacteria
Description: bacterial SSU rRNA
Rfam family: Bacterial small subunit ribosomal RNA
Source: RNAcentral
UAGGGGUUCUGAGAGGAUGAUCCCCCACACUGGUACUGAGACACGGACCAGACUCCUACGGGAGGCAGCAGUGAGGAAUAUUGGUCAAUGGGCGCAAGCCCGAACCAGCCAUCCCGCGUGAAGGAUGAAUGCCCUAUGGGUUGUAAACUUCUUUUAUGUACCAAGAAUGGGCCCCACGUGUGGGGUUUUGACGGUAGUGCAUGAAUAAGCAUCGGCUAACUCCGUGCCAGCAGCCGCGGUAAUACGGAGGAUGCGAGCGUUAUCCGGAUUCAUUGGGUUUAAAGGGUGCGUAGGCGGUUUUUUAAGUCAGUGGUGAAAUCCUGCGGCUCAACCGUAGAACUGCCAUUGAUACUGAAAAACUUGAAUAUAGUUGAGGUAGGCGGAAUGAGUAGUGUAGCGGUGAAAUGCUUAGAUAUUAUUCAGAACACCGAUUGCGAAGGCAGCUUGCUAAGCUAUAAUUGACGCUGAGGCACGAAAGCGUGGGGAUCAAACAGGAUUAGAUACCCUGGUAGUCCACGC